RNAcentral lists this long non-coding RNA (479 nucleotides) under Olea europaea (common olive). Its description in RNAcentral is "long non-coding RNA (OEUR_LNC000516)". Lineage: Eukaryota; Viridiplantae; Streptophyta; Magnoliopsida; Lamiales; Oleaceae. The record is from RNAcentral.
UUCGUCCCCACGCAUGCCCUCCGUCCUGCAUCGUCGUGCCUUUCGACGGUCUCGUUUCCGAAUGAUUUCGCACCUCCCGAUCGGACGUUGGGAAGUUACGGGGACUACGUUGCAGCGUGCGUCUUAUGCCUAGGCCAAUCGACCGACACGCCGCGCGGUUUCGUCCCCACGCCUGCCCUCCGUCCUGCAUCGUUGUGCCUCACGACGGUCUCGAUUCGGGACAAUUUCGUACCAACCGAUCGGACAUUGGGAAGUUGCGAGCACUACGUUGCAACAUGCGUCUUAUGCCUAGGCCAAUCGAUCGACACGUCGCGCGGUUUCUUGCCCCCGCGCAUGCCCUCCGUCCGGAUUGUUCCUCCCACUCUCGUCGGGUCUUUACUCCAUUUCUGGACCGAAAUAGGCAAUUGCCGGGAAAUCCGAGGCCAUCUCUCGACGCGCAACGCGAUUUCGUGCCCACGCAUGCGUUCCGUUCGGGUGCU